AUUAACGCUGGCGGCGUGCAUGAGACAUGCAAGUCGAACGGACGGGCGAGCUUGCUCGCCCGUUAGUGGCGGACGGCUGAGUAACGCGUGGGUGACCUGCCCCGAAGUGGGGAAUAACUGCCCGAAAGGGUGGCUAAUACCGCAUGUGGUGACUGGUUCGUUCCAGUCUCCAAAGCCGCAAGGCGCUUCGGGAGGGGCCUGCGUCCGAUUAGCUCGUUGGUAGGGUAACGGCUCACCAAGGCGACGAUCGGUAGGUG
RNAcentral lists this ribosomal RNA (257 nucleotides) under uncultured bacterium. RNAcentral's name for it is "partial 16S ribosomal RNA". It matches the Rfam family "Bacterial small subunit ribosomal RNA", at positions 29 to 289 of the family's 1533-position model. The record is from RNAcentral.